CAUUUUCUCUUGCUGCCGCCAGGUAAGAAGUGCCCUUCACCUUCUGAGGCCUCCCCAGCCAUGUGGAACUGUCCUCUCAGAUCUACCAUGUGAGUGCACACAUCCUUCCAGUCAACCAGAGAUUCUGUGCAUUUCUUCUGGAGAGAUCUGAUGCACAGUGAUAACUCGGCGAUACCUACACAAACUGUAGGCCAUUUUCCAGUGAUUGAAGCCACUGUUCUGGAAAGGAUGUAUGCCCAGCUUUCGAAGACACAGUCCCACAUAUACGUCUUCAAGGUGAAGCAGCCUUGUGUGGAGUGAGGUCUUGUAAAUGAGUUCAGCUACAUCGGCUGAAAAGAUGUAGCCAGUCCCCGAACAGAAAGGUGGGGUCGCUUUGGGACUCUGAGAUUCUCACGCAGGAAGUUUACUGGAGCAUGUUCUUAGGAACAACACCUGUCUCUAAUGUGAGAGGAGAAAGAAGAAGGCAAAGGGAGAGUCUGAACCUUGAUGCAGUCACAGCACAGACCUGAGCUGACCCUGCAGGGAGCUCUGGGGCUGGGAUGGUUCUGCAGAGUCCAGUGCGUGCCAGGCCAGCUUGCAUGGGCUUGGGCAGAGCUGGUGGUGCGCACUUCUUCCCAACUUCACAUUCAAUGACAUCAUGUUGAUAUCUUGAAACUGGUGGCACAUACGUUUAUAACACAAAAAUAGGCAAUGCUAGAAACCAGGGGUUCUCCCACUUCCCUUGCCUAGAAAGCUGGUUUGCCAGAAAAGCCACAGUGAAGAAAGAUUGCUUCCAUAUCUAUCUCUGUGCCCAAAUUCAUGCAAUAAAUUCUUCGCUGUUGUUUGUUGUUGUUUUUG
Molecule: long non-coding RNA, 837 nt
Filed under: Homo sapiens (human)
Lineage: Eukaryota; Metazoa; Chordata; Mammalia; Primates; Hominidae
Description: B3GALT1 antisense RNA 1
Source: RNAcentral